Molecule: long non-coding RNA, 5385 nt
Organism: Canis lupus familiaris (dog)
Lineage: Eukaryota; Metazoa; Chordata; Mammalia; Carnivora; Canidae
Exons: 4
Source: RefSeq, a predicted model, not a curated record
CCAGGAUUUAGAACAGUGCCUGUCACAUGAACAGCACCCGUUAAGUAUCCGUGGGCUCAACGACGCUAAUGGCAGAAACGUGUGCGGAGACUUGAUACAAAGGGAACAUAAAAACAACACAGUUACUGGAACUGGAGCAAAAUGAGCCCUGGAAUGAAGCCCAGUGAGGGAAGCCCCUCGGUGGCUGGCCUGAGGCUCCUCCCAUGGGUUGUCCCUGGCGCUGGGCACAGCCGUGUCCUGAGAGGAUCCCUCCUAUGGAUGGAGAUUGGACGCGCGCGUGUCUAAGCUGCAUGACUGCGAUUCUCCUCUGUACGUCUUCCUGAGUCCAAUUCACCUCUGGGGGUAGAGUGAGAACCCAUCCCGCUGCGGGUAGAAACCUCUGGGGGUACCUCUGGGGUACCUGAAACCUCUGAGGGUAGAGUGAGGACCCAUCCCGCUGCCAAAAUCUAUCAGCAACACUGCCUCGCCACCACCCAUCUAUUCCUACAGGACCCUUACUUCUGGGUGUAGGGCUCCUUGGCAAGAGACAGCUGUGAUCAUAAACAUUAAAGAACGUGGAGCCAGGGAAGGCUGCUGGCCUCCUCCCCUGGUGCGUCACCAGGCCAGCCUGUGGUGGGCUGAGGGCCUGCCGGCCAGCUUGCUGUUCCCAUGCAGGGCAGGUUGUGUCCAGGUCACAGCAACGAGCAUCCCGACCACAUACCUUGACAAGCACCGCAGCUCACUAGGAUGAUUACGCUCUCCAGAGGCCUCUUGGCUCAAGUCUGUGAAAUGCACUGUGGCCACCCUUGGCUGUGGAGGUGCCACCCCCUGACUCCUGCCUCCCCUGGCCCACACAACCAAGGAACAAUGACGGGAAAUCGAUGGCAAUUGUACAGCAUAUACAAUACGCCUGAGAGACUUCUGGAUUUGGGGAGCCGGCAUGAAGGCUCUGGUCCUCCUUCUGCCUCUGAUUUGCCUUGAGACCGAAGGAGCAUCACUGGCGAUCCCAGAGCUCAGUUUCUCCUCCGUAAAACGAGGCCGAGAGUGCCCGAUUUACCUCUCCCCACACUGUUAUAAAGAUUACUUGUGAACCUUAAUUCUUACGUUGAGCACUGAUCAGCAGUUAUGACCACGUGAGGGGAGAGAGGGCGCAAGGGGUCAAUGGGCUACCAUUUGCCGUUUCCUCCCGAGUAUAGACUAUUAUUAUCUAACGCUUUCAUCAUAAGAAUAAUACCUCCUCAUUACAGAGACUUUCAGAUUUAAAUUCCUGGGUAGAGCAAUUUAUAUCAAUGUCUUUAAAAAAAUUGCAUUGGCCACUGAUCCAAACCAACUUCCCUCCUGCGAACUCUACUUCCUUCCACCGUCCACACAAGCCUUCGUUCUAGUGUCAGAUAGUUGGUGCGAUAAGGUCAUUACACUAAUAUGUGGGUAUUAAAUAUGCUGUACCUCCUCCAGCUACCACAUGUGUAUCUUAAUAGAAUUAAAAAAAAAAAAAAAACAUCAUCCAAGGAACAGGACGAAUGGUGGACUUUCAGGCACAGUGAUCUCGUGAUUGGGAAUUCAAGGAAGGUGGUCCGCUGCAAGUGUCACAUCUUUAUUCCUCAAAGUAAAUUCAGUUUCAGGGGAAUCACGGCCAGAGAACUUCGCUGCCAUUCCUUCUGCCACUAGGCUCAGAGACUUGACGCUUCCCUUUCUCCGUGUACCUACCACAGCCCAGACGGGAACUAUUUUGGAAAGCCAGCGUCAGAGGACGACAAGCUUGGUUAUUCACGAGAAGGUGGAGAGAUCCAGCUUUCUCUGCGACCUUGGCUGAGUCACAUCACCUCCUUAUUCUUGUGAGAGAAGGGCCGGUAUUGCACUGGGCCGUCCAGAUCGAAACCCCAUGCCUGGGAUUCCAUGAGUCGUCCUGCUGUCUCCUGGCCAAGCUCCGAGUGCUCCUCCGAGGAACUGAGCUGAGAGAACAAUGCCCCAUGAUUGGCUCUGGUGCGUCCCCAAGGGCAGAGCAGCAGCACGGUUCUAGGGGCUGGAGGCAGAGAAGCGCCACAUCUCUAUUCUCGCGGCAUUUCCAGGAAAGAAAAUGGGGAAAACAGGCAGUAAAAAAUGAAGCAGCGUACUGUAUGUAUAUCAGGUGAUAAAAGCCAUAGGGAAACAUGGAGCAAAAUAAGGGUUGAAGGAACCCUCGUAGGAGUCGAUGGAGGGUCUGUAUUUUAAACAGGUGCAGCAGGGCGGUCUAACGCCGGAGUCCUCGGACACCAUGAAAAACACAGGCCUACUCCAAGUCCAAAUCUCCACAUGGAGGUUUCAUUUAAUACUCACACCAGUUAGGAUGGUUAUGGUUGUCACUACUCACACUUAACAGAUGGGAAGACUGAGGUUCAAAGAGAAAAAUCUGUCAGAAGUAUCCCAGUUACUAAGAAGCAGAGUCUGGCUUCAGAGUGUGCUCGUUUCCUUUCACAUCACAUUAAGGAAUGGGGAGAGCUGCGGGCAGGACGGCUGGCUUCAGAGCUGCGUCCCUGCAUCAUCCCUAAUGUCACUCCUUCCGUUUGCAAAGCCCCUUCUGGCCCUUUGUCUCCUCGGAGGCUCACCACCCUGGGGAGGAGGGUGCGGCCCCUGCUCUCCCCGUCCAUGACUCCUCCACCUCAGGCACUGACCCCCCCAGCCCUGCAGGGACCCACUAACCUCACCCAUGACUGGCCUGAUUAGGUACAUCCACCCCGGAAACAGGGAAUGGUCUCGCUGGCCCUCGGAUUCUUGGGACCCGUGUGCCCAGAUUGAGUGUGAGGCUUUCCCUAUCCCUGUUGGGUUACCCAGUAGAUACAACUGGCUGUUGGUCUGGGUUCCCUGAGCCCCAGCCUGCCUCAUCUACUUCCCGGGUGGCUCAGACCUUCCCCUGCACUCUCUGUUUCCAUCUGAGGAGCUUCUCCAAGCGGGUAGACCGCAUCUGCUGAGGAUAACGAUAGCAGCAAUGAUAAAAAUACUGUAAACACUUAGGACAGCGGUGGCCACAUAGCAAGGGCUCAGUAAAUAUGUGUUUAAUGAAUGACAAAGAGCUAUAACUAACUCUAAUAUGUGCGUACUAUGCUCCAGGCGCCACGUGGGAGCUUUCUCCUUGACUUCUCACAAGAGUCCCAGUUCACGUAAAAGUGAACCGAAACUUAGAAAGGCCAAGUUACUGGCUCAGGUUCACAGAGUUGGGAAACAAUCCAGCUUGUGUUUGACCCCAUGUCUGUCUGAUCCUAAAACCCAUGCCUUCCACCACCAUCCAUCAUCAGGAAACAAGACUCAAUGGUCAUAAUCGGCUCCCUCGUCAGCCUCGCCCAUCACCCAUGUCUAGAAGCCCCCGCGGCAUUACAGGAUAUGCUAGAUGAGGUCGUCUCGAAUAGUGUUGACUCAGAUCAAGAUGCACUUUCCCCACCACUUCAGCCACUAUUCAUCAGACUCUUGGGAAGCUCAUUGUGAGGCCGACCAUAGAGCCGAUGAGCUGCCUUUGGCCCUGAUCCCAUCAGAUUCUUCAGUCUUUAUCAAUCUAGCCGAUGUCUCAGCAUAGAUCACAGCUCAUCCCGUUGACGGUGGUUUCAGAGCAUGGCUGCAAACAUCUUUAAAACUCCAUCCAUGAGAGGUGGAGCCACGUGCCUUGCCCCUCUAAUCUGAGGAGGCCUACGGCUGCUUUGACCAGAUUGCAGGAAGUGGUGUUGCUGCGUGAUUUCUAAGGCGGGGUCAUAAAAGGCCACCUAGCUUCUACUGUUUCACUAGAACAUUCACUCUUGGAGCCCCUGUGCUGACAAGGAACAGUCCACAUACCCGGGAGCCACCCUGCUGUGAGGGCGCCUGGUCCACGGGGAGAGUUAAAUAUGGGUGAUCUGGUGAGCAGUAUCGGAACGAGACCAGCCUGUGAGUCACCCCAGCUCAGGGGCUAGACCAGCCUCUAGACUUCUUGAGUCUUCCCAGCUGAGGCUCCAGACCCUGUGAAGCAGAGACAAGCAUCCGCGUGUACCCUGCCCAACUUCCUUCCCCACAGAAUCCAGAAGCAUGGUACAAGGGUGGUUGUCUUCGGUUACUAAGUUGUGAGGUGGGGUGGUACCCAGCAACGGACAACGGGAACGCCGUCUACAUAGCCGGGGCCAGCUGAGGAGCUAAAGGCUAAGGGCACAGGAGUCACAUAGCACUGGGGUUGAAUUCUAGAUGAGGCCACCUUCCAGACCAGGCAAGUUAUUUCACGCCUUUGAACUUUACCCGUCUCAUCCCCCCAGUAGUAAUAACGAUGGUACUGCGGUCCAAGAGCUAUUGCACGGUUAAGCGAGAGGAUGUGGGGGGACCUUCACUGGCUCUGGCCAUUGUCAUGGGACGUCUCAGCGAGUGCAGUUAUUACGCUAACACCUUGCAGAGGAGGAAUCCAAACUCCGAGAAGUGAAAUGACUCCCCCAAGGUGACACGACUGACCGGGCCUCUAAACUUCAUUGCUAGCGCUUCAGAGCCUCGGCGCCAGGGACAUGAUGCUAGAGGCUCAGAAUAUGACAGUGGAAGGAGGCGAUGUAUUCUGUUCAACUCCCAACAUUUUACAGAUAAGAAAACCUUGGAGGUCCAAGGACCUUGGAUGGAUGUGGACAAGGGCAGCUCCUAAAACCAACAAUCCACUUGCAUGAACUGGCUUUAGAGAGAUUCCUUAAGUAGCCCAACCACAUACGCCCGGGGUCUCUGCAGCACAGGUGGCGUCUCUCUUGUACGGAUGAGCAAACCGAGGCUGAGAAGAUGAGCAUCUCACUGGAGCUCACGCAGGAAGUUGGCCUGAGAGCUCAGCUUACAGCCUGGUCAGCGGAGCCUGGGUUUUAUCUUCCUGAGCAAGAGACUAACUCACUACUUUACUGCCCAGAAAUUCACAGGUCAGGAGUGUCUUUCCUCUGUAAUAACUGGAUGUGUCAGUUAUCACAGAGUUAGAGACGCGUGUGCCCGUGGAGGCUGGGAAAACAGGAAAAGGUGUGAUAAUUAAAUAGAAAAGAUGAAUUCUUUUAUUAGAAACGAUCACUUCUCCUACAAGAAGAAACCGAUGUCCCAAAGGGUAGAGCAACUUUCUGGUUAAUGGAAGGGAUAAAGCUGUAUAAAGAAAGGGACAAGAGCUUGGGAUAUCAGUGGACGCACAUGGCCCUGCCAGGCUAGAUGUCUACCAGUCGAGCGUCCUCACUUAGAUUACCUUGGUUUCCUCGUGUAGAAGUUAGGAGUAAACAUUACCUUGCCAUAUGCUUGCCUUAAGGAUUAAACACACAACAGCUAGCAUGUAGGAGGACUUCCAUGCUUUUCUUCCUAAAAGGAAGACCCAAGACUCAAAAUAGUGUUCUUUAAUCCCAGCUUCUUUGGAAAAUUGAGAUUUCUUUUUUUAUUAUUUUUAUUUUUUUUAAGGUUGUAUUUAUU